GAUUGUUUCGUUAUACCGUCGUCUCCUUUGGCCUUUAGGGUCUGAGCUUCCACCUGGGUGCAGUGCUACUGUCUCUCGCCUUCAUCACAUAUGUUGAGCAUGUUUUGCGGAAGAGGCUGGCAGACAUUUUAAACGCGUGUAUUCUGUCAAAGAAAUGUCAGCCAAACUGCACUCACAAGAACAAAGAGGCCCCGUGGGUGUACAUUAUUAAUAUAGCCUUCAGUGCCCUGGCAGUCUUCCACCUGGCAUACCUGGGCUCUCUGUUCAACUCCAGUGUGGACUACAUGGAUGAUGAUGAGGAGAGUGGCGUGGCCAACCACACCAUUCAGAAGUGGUCGGAGCUGAGCUGGGCCAGCCACUGGGUGACGUUUGGCUGCUGGGUGCUCUACCGCAUCAUCCUCUAGAUGUGUGAGGGAGUGGGAGCGAGAGAGAGCUGGGGACAGAGAGACAUAUAGAGAAGGGAAGCAAUAACAAGAGGGAAUUAACGUGAGCCUGUUAAGGAAAGACCGGCUCUCUACUCCUGCACUGUGAAGUUGUAUUGGACUGAAGAGUACAUACACACAACCACCCUAUGGACAGUAUAUUAACUAUUUUCUCAAUACCAACAUACAGUGCUCAGGACACCGCCUAAGAGACGAGGUAAUCUACUUACUGUAACCUGCUGGCGACAAACUAUUUUUGAUACUCUUGAAAUAAUGCCCCAAUCUUCCUUAAUCACAUUGUUUCGUUUGAGCUGCUGCAUUUGUCUACCCCUUGUGGCGAGAUGGAUCAACAGCAGAUGUGGAUCAGACAUCUCCAUGCGAUUCUCAAUCAAUACUCUUCCUGUUAGCAUGACAGUGGUCAAUCAUUCACUCUCUUUGAUGAACAACUAAGAACCCGUUGUCUAGUUUUCAGAAGUGAUUCCGUAAUACGCCAUUAAAGUAAUAUUUUCCUUUUCCUCCGUAUUCGAAAGCUACAUUUUUUUAUUUCACCCUACUUAGUUGUUACAUUUGUAGAGCAUGUAAAACCCCUGUUUUUGUGAUCACACAAAUCAGCAUUAUAAGAGCAUAUUUCCUUUGUGGAUUUUAAUAGAAAAUGUAUGUAUUUUUAAUUUAUAAAAAUAAGUGUACAUUG
Molecule: long non-coding RNA, 1113 nt
Organism: Oncorhynchus gorbuscha (pink salmon)
Lineage: Eukaryota; Metazoa; Chordata; Actinopteri; Salmoniformes; Salmonidae
Exons: 4
Source: RefSeq, a predicted model, not a curated record